Molecule: long non-coding RNA, 20232 nt
Filed under: Lynx pardinus (Iberian lynx)
Lineage: Eukaryota; Metazoa; Chordata; Mammalia; Carnivora; Felidae
Source: RNAcentral
ACCCCCCCACCAAACAAAACAACAACAAAAAACCAAACAGGACGAUUGGCUGCUGCCCUUCACGGAAGUUCAUCGCAAAUCAAACCACCUUGUUCAAAUACUGUUGAACUUCUGUGCAAAUUGGAAAAUGGUGUUGGAAACUCAGGGUCCAGGCUUGCUUUGGCCUUGCUCGUCACGUGAGGACGUCUGGGCGAGCGAACUGAGUAGUAGCGAUUGUUCGCGUCUCCACCCGACACUCGGGAAACGAGCAGAAUGAGCCAGGGUGAAGGGUCCCCUCCACUGACAGGUUUGCGUUCGUGCCCUACUCUUCGUAAAACCGUAACUCAGGGUGGAUUUAAGUCAGUGGGGUGGCCCGUUCCCUCUCUCCCUGUGAGGCUACUUUGCACCAAGCCAGCAGCUACAACAGCAGAAUUCUGUUAGUUCAGCUCUUAGCAACUUCCGCACAACACUUGGUUAGUAUUCAAGUGACCCAGCCGACCCUCCUCGACAUACAGGUGGUGGGGGAGCCGCAGCCCGGGACUGGCUGCAUGGAUCUGAGGCUGGUUUGGUGUGUUCUUUUAUAAGCUCUGUUAUGUGGUAUUUUCACUGGAAAAAUAUCUCAAGCUAGAUAGAUAAUGUGGCAAAAGGGACUCUUAAAAGGAAGAUCAUUUUUCUCUAUGCAAAACAAGUUUUUUCAGCCAGGAUCCCCUUAAAAAUACCCCAGGCCUCCAGCAAAAGCUGCCCCAGUUCCUUUACUUUUCCAAAAGGGAAGCACAUUUUGGAUGCAAGCUUCCUGCUGGGGCAGAAUUCCAACGGACAAUACGGUUAUUUUUCAGUUAGAAAUUAAUCUGCUUCCCAGAGCAGGCUGCUAGGGUGUGACUGCAAUUUGAGCUGCAGAACUUGAAAAGGGACCUCAGGACUGUCUGGAGACAGAAGAGCUACCGGUUACAAACCCUCAGUAAGCCAAGCUCAGUUCCAGAACUUGUGGGUCGAUCCUCCUAUAAAGACCACAGGGCAGUGAGCCUAUCACCAACCAUGUGGGUUACAGUCGCUGCAGGGUAUCCUGUGUGACCGAAGCCAAAUGCUAAACCUGGCUGCAUUUUAUUGGAUGGGUGAUGGAAGGAGGGGGGGGGGGGGGGGGCGGGGAUCACUGUCAGAAGGGAGGAAAAUAUGGGUGGGAGCCGCCAACCAAAGUCCCCCCACCCCCCUCGCUCCCCCAACGAAAAGGAGGGGAGAAAACCCUUUCCCUCGGGUCAUCUAGGGUUCCCGGGCCUCAGCCAGCUUUGCAGGAGGCGCACAGAAAGCUUGCUUUUGGUCUGGUGGUCGUGAGCUAGAAUCUGUUGCCUUUGGUUGCUCUCUUCACUCCACGGCAAACCCGCAAGUCUCCUCCACGGCCGUCAGCAGCUUCUCGUAGAGCUUCUCGUACGACUCGUAAGGUGGAAUGUCGAUCCGAUUAAAGCUGAAAGAGGACAAAAGAGCGACAGAGUCACUGCUGGGGCCAUCUGGACCUAGGCCCUGGUCCAGGCGGGAGCAGAGCAUUCAGGGCCUCGAGCUAGCAGCGUGUGAGUAUACAGGCGGAUGGGGCCAAGCAUCUCAUCGCCCAGCUGGGGUGGGGGGUACAGGCAAGUUUUCCACUCCCCCCUGGUGCUUUUCUGUUUCGAAAGCAAAGAUUUUUCAUGGAACACAGAACAAAAUAAGUCCUAAGAUCUUGAAAGCCAAAAUUAAACCGAUUACUAUGUCCUGGUUAUAUCAGGACAAAGAUCCUUCCUGAUGCACUGGUGGUUGUCUUCUUCGCAUGUGGACCCCCGUAAUCCAGACUGGCCGACUGUCGGAUCACCACUGACAAUCCACUGCCUGUCUGUCUAAUCCUCCGUGACUUGACCUGAGACCAAAUGGGGCAGUCUGGGAUGUUUCCUGCAGAAACAAACUAUUAUCUCAAAACUAGUAAAACGUCAAAUCUCUGAUAGGAGGAGAUAAAUCAACAUUUCCCUGGAGAAAUUCUAGUGUUGUAUUAAAAAAAAAGAAAAGAAAAGGCAUCCUUUAAGAAGGAUAUUCUCUCCUAAUAAGUCAAAACAUACAAAAUUCUGACCAAGAUAGUGACCUACUGAAUUACUAGCGGUCAAGCAGUUAAGGAUGGUUUUUGUCAAGAAAGAACUGGGCUGGGGCGCCUGGGUGGCUCAGUCGGUUAAGUGGCCAACUUCGGCUCAGGUCACGAUCUCGCGGUCCAUGAGUUCGAGCCCCGCAUCGGGCUCUGUGCUGAUGGCUCAGAGCCUGGAGCUUGUUUCAGAUUCUGUGUCUCCCUCUCUCUCUGCCCCUCCCCCAUUCAUGCUCUGUCUCUCUCUGUCCCAAAAAUAAAUAAACGUUAAAAAAAAAUUAAAAAAAAAAAAAAAAAGAAAGAACUGGGCUAAACCGUGUGAUAGUUUUUUUCUUAAAGUUGGGACUUCAGCAUCUGAGGACAGUUCUCACAUCCGUUUUAUUCAACUAUGAAAGGGCAGAGUCCUAGGGAAGAAAGCGGCUGCCGUGGGUCAACACAAUGCUGUGUCUGUAACGGCCAUGCGGGGCUGGGCGCCACAGCCUCGGUAGGGCCUUGGCCAUGUAAGCACUUGAACCCACACCCCUGGGUUCCCAAUCAGGAAGCUUCUGUUGCAAUGUUACACAUCUCGAUGGCAAGGAACCGGCUCUCGCGAACCAGACACGCUGGUCUUUUUGAUACGUGGUUUCUGAGACAAAGCGUACGUAAGUGACUUGAUUUUUAAACUGCAAGGGAAAAUCAUCUGCUACAGGUAUGAGUGAUGUUAAAAUUUAGUAAAGUUAAGAAGUUUUCAAUGUGCAAGAUGCAUCCAUCACCAAGUUCCAAGAAGGAAAACACAGGAAGCCAAAGACUGGGAACUCCGGAUUGAAAAUGACAACUCCCCCGCAGGGAGGUACGUGUGUGCACACACGCGGCCCAGCAAAGGCAAGGCUGGAGCUGCCGAGUGCCAGCCGCCGUUAAUCACAUCUCACGACAAAACGGGUUUCACGAAAGAGACUUCUGAUAACCCUCAUGUGACACACGGCCAAGCGCUCAUCCCACCUGACACUGGUUCCACGGCCAGUUGUCCUGGGGCGCAGGUAAAGGAAGCACGGGGAGUCACGCGCGGGGUGGCAGGCGCAGGGACAGGCUCCCCGCGAUGCCACAGCGAGGUCCUUACCAGGUGUGGGCCUUCGGAAGGUUGUCUGUGUUGGCGUCGAUCAGGUGGAUGGUGAAGAGCCGGGGCCCUGCCGCGCCUGUAGAACCUUACGAGACAACAUUCUAGUUAAUGCACUUCAGAGGCGGGCCCUGGGCCCCACUGCCAACCACACCCUCGGCCCGAUGCCCGGGCAGGUCGUCCUGCCGGACGGUCGUGGGCUUCCCGCGGCGGCAUAGCCUGCACCUGGGUUAGGACACGCUGACCGUCCAGCGACCUAUCCCAGCCAUUCUAGAAAAUCGCAGGGGCAGAGACGCGUGAGAGCUCUCCUCCUGGACCCUGGCCGUGGGCCCACUCAAGUGGGGAUAUUUGAAGGACAAAAUCCUUAAAUCACCAGUGACGGUUUUUCUUUUUUUUAAACAAGAUGUUUAGCAAGUGGGCCCGCCCCUGGCAGAGGACAGCAGGGUUAUGACAAAAGCACGAUACACAGUCAUGAAUCCCCCAGGCGGAGGGACGGUGGGAAAAGAAAAAGACACAAACACCUAGGACAACAGCCCAGGGGGAUGGAAGUAGCUUCUGUCACUCAAAGAAGUUCUUCAAAUCUGGAAAAGUCUACAGGGAAUGUUCUCUACAUGAAAUACACCUGCUAUCUCUAGGAACAUGCAAAGGUCCAUCUGCUACAUUUUAACAUACUAACAUUCUUCACCUUUUUCCUUCUGGCUCUCAGGGUUAUCAAAAAUCUGGAUAUCAGGUUUUUUAUCAGCGUCGGAAGGGACCAGAGAGGGGAUGGGUACCUACACCAGACAGCGGAGCCUCUCAGGCAGUGCCUCUGCAUAGAGGAGGAAACCGAGGCUCAGGAAGGACCCCUGGAGCUCAUGACCAACACGGCAGCAGGAGACUCCAUCUCCUGGCGCUCAGGCCGGGCCGCUCUCACCUCAGGGCUGCAGUGAGACGGCUGCUACCAGAAGACUCAGGAACGAAUCCAUGGUGCACUUUAGAACCUCUAAUUUCUUUCCCCAAAGCCUUGCUGCUAUUUGUACCCUCCCUCUGUCCCCCAGUUCUGUAGGGGUGGGGGAGGGACCGGCUCCAUGGGGUCCUUCUUCGCUCAGGUCUCGCCCAACUCAGCCCUGGGCGGGCACCAGGCUGGCCAGCCCCCGCCACAGCUGCGCGCCCCAGAUGACACCCCGCCUGCUGGGCACGUGGCCUGCUGGGCACGUGGCCUGCAGGGACACCGAGAAAGGUGGGUUUGACAGGAAGCUGGGCUUUGUUUUGCUGAGAUUCUCACCCCCUUUGCGUCUACAGGUAUCUCCUCUCAGCUUGGGCAGAGGCUAGCACCCCCGGAGCACUGGGGGGCCGGCAGAGAGAAUGGCAACAAGAGGGCCCCCAGGGGUGGGGGCGGCCGCGGCCGCCAGGCGAGCACCUCCACGCCCCCAGCGUUCGCUACGAGAAAACACAGGCCGCGCCACUUCCUAGGAGACAUUUCAGGAAAACACCACCACGGCGGUCCAGCUCUUCCUGCCGUGGCCGGGCAGGGGACAUGCCUGGCGGAGACGCGUGGGGCCAGGAGCCCCGCCUCCACAUCAGUCACCUUGCAAAGCCUUGAAGCCUUGGAGAGGGACCCGAGUGGACCCGGUCACAAACUGCAGCAGCCUGGCCCUCCUCUCCUCAUCGAAGGUCUCCACGGCCUGCCAGAACCAGCGGACGAUGUUGCUGUCGGCCACACAGUGCUUCAGCCGAGUGUUGGACUUCCAGUCGCUCACGUCGAUCUUAUCCAGGCCGCCUAUGAUCAGCUGCGAAGGCGUUUAGAGGCAAGUUAUUUCUCAGACGUACAGACCGGGUCAUGGCAGCCUCCCAGGUUCCCAGCGUCUGAAAGGAGGGAAUUCGUGGCGUCCGAAUAAACUAGCCAGAGACUCAGACAAGCGGAGAGGGAGACGGGCCCACGCUCCCAACAGCGCCUUUUCUUACAACCAGGUCUGCUCUCCUCAUCCGCGAGGAGUCAGUACCAAAGGGCCGACCGGCGAGACUGAAGGGGCUGACUGUAAAACGGGGCCACCUCCCCGGGACCCCAGGGGCCGUCACAGCAGGGCUGGGAGGGGAGUGGUGUGCGAGUUUCUGCACCGGGUGGGAGGCCCACCCGGAGCUGCUGCCCGCCCACGGAGGCGCCUCGCCGCGGCAGAAAGACAAGGAUUUCAAAGCCGUGAGCCACUUGGCACGGACGUGGGUAAGGGAUGAAUGAGUCUCUAUGUUCACACACGCGAAGUGGGACACGAGAAGACAAUAACACUUUGUGCGGAGUCUAAUAAUAGCUAGAACAGAAACACAAAGUUGACGUGCUGGCAGAAUCUGGUUAUACGCGAGAGAAUUUCCUCGAUCCGAGGUAAAUACGUGGGAGGGGUUUGGAAACCGCCACGGCUGGAGAUCUUGAACAUGAGGAUAAGCCACAGGACACCCCGAACAAUGUCCGGAGAAUGAUCUGGACUCGUUGCCGCCAAGCAGACACCUGUCCUUGUCAUAAGCAGGCUCAGACGCCCUCGACACCCCGCUCGCUCUAGGCCUGUUCGUCGGGAGCCCCGACAAACCCCCGGCCUUGCCGCGGGGACAGACAAGCCUCAUUCUGCAGGCAGGUUGUAAAACAAGAAAACGCCGAUCUCACUUGCGCCCUUUAAUGCCUCCUUGGCUCGGCCCGGUGAGCACGUACCUCCAGUUCCUUCUGGUCAAACGGCUUCAGUAAGUGUUGAGGAAUGAGUUCAUUAAACCCCUUCUGAAGAGCCAAGAACUGGGCUUCAAUCCCCCGCAUGAACCUCCAAUUUACAUACAACCUGAGAAACAAAUUCACAAGUUGGAGGCAGCAUCAAGUGGUUCAUGAAAAAAAAAAAAGUUUUCUCCACAGAAGGUUCUGACAUCUGAACCUGGCACCCUGCCUGCCGGGCCUCCCCUGGGGGCGGGAGGAGGGGGCGGAGGUGGGGGCAGAUGGGACGAAACCCCCACCGGCCGACGUUGCCUAGCCUCAGUAUCAGGGUAAAAAUAAGUUAGCACAGGCCCUUACACAUGCUGAUGCUUCGCUAAAAAUAGCUGUAGGAAUUAACCUGACCUGUUAGAGCAAGUGCCAUAACUGAAAAGUAGACCUGAAAAUGACACACAGGAUACCGUGGGAACACGCGCCAGUCUGGCAGCCUCCGCACACGGACACGCCCGCAUGCUUCCAACUCCCCAGUGCGAGCGACUGGCCGUUUAUUUGCCUGAAGAGGUAGGCGCCUGGACGGCUCAGCUGGUUAAGGGUCCGACUCUUGAUUUCAGCUCAGGACACGAUCUUAUGGUUUGUGGGAUCGAGCCCCACAUCAGACUCUGAACUGACAGCGCGGAGCCUGCUUGGGAUUCUGUCUCUUCUCGCCCUGCCCGACCCCUGUCUGCUGUCUAUCUCAAAAUAAACAUUAAAGAAAAAAAGAAGAGAAAACAAACUACUAUGGAGUAGACUUCCUCGAGACUGAUCUCAAGGAAACUUCUAGGCUUCUAUUCUCUCCUGCGUUCACCACCUUCACACCCAGAAUUGGGAGGUCACCUGCAAUCCCUUCCCCAGCUUGGGCUCUGGAGUCAUUAUCCUCCCUUCAAUGGGCCGGCUCUGGUGGCACCAGGGGCACCUCUGUGCACAGCCCCCAACACUGAACCCGACCGUUGCUGAAAGUCUGUUCUGUUCCUGGGAUUCUGGUCAUAGGUGCCGGCAGGGAAGGGAAGCCUCAAACAGCCAAGGAGCCUUGACAACCUAAAUGUGAACCCAGCCUUGCCCAGAUGGUCCCAGGCACCUGGAUGUCCCCGCUGGCAACUUCCAAGGUUCCCCAGAACAUUACCGGACAUAUUCUUUCUUGUUGUCCUCUGUGACAGGAACGUUGCGACCAUUGGGUUUCAGUUCAUGCUGAAGAAUCCUCCCGAAAGCAUUGUGUUCCACACAGAAAGUGUGGUCUAGCACAGGGGUGAUAUCAUUCUCUCUGUUGAAGUUAAGACACAAGAUGGAUGUCGGACCUCUGCCAGCAUGCAGCAGAGAACAGAACCUUAGACGGAACGUUCCGGGAAAAAGACGGCACUUCCUGUCCAUCACCCCAGAUCUGCAGGGGGGGACGAGGAAAACCUAGGGCCCAGAGCACGUGUGAGGGCAGGGGUGCGGGUACUGAAGGGGUACCACAGCUCCACUCUGCAUGUGCCCAGACUCUGGGCUCCCUCAUUCACAGGGAGGUGAUGGUAGCUCUCUCGUUCUGGGAUUUUAUGAGACACGGUGGCCUGACUGCCUUGUAAACUGAGUCUCCGAACAGAAGGAUUCACGAAGAGGAAACGGGGUCAAAGGAAAAGCAACCUGCAGAAGACACACCUAGAAAACAUUCGCAAGCCCUCCUUUAGGGCAGCCAUUCCAAAUGCAUCCAUUCAAACAAAGUAGCACUUGGAAGUUCAAGUGGACUCCUCUGCCCCCCCGCAUUUGCUGAGACGCAAGCAGAGUAAACGAUUUUGUACAGGAUGGAGGCCCUAACCCCCCCGGACUACCCAUUUCCAGCUGGGGCACGUGAAGUGAGGCCGACCGGCACUUGGGGUGCAGCGGCUCCAGCUCCCCCUCUCGCUCUCCCCCUGCAGAGCCUGGAUCUCUCCCUCCUGUGAAAUCGGCUCCUUCACAAGGACCCGCAACCCCCGCGGUUACCACGUGACUGUGCCGACAGCUUCCAAGAGAGUUCUAGGAUAAUUCUAAAACAAAGUCGACUAAAUAUAGUUUUUCCUGAUACUUUCUCUUACUAUCAAAUUCUCUGCCACUAAUUUUGUGUUGGGUGCUUUCCCUCUCGAGAUUCACUGGAGAGUCCAAAACAAAACCCACCACCCACCUAUCAGGCCUGGGGAUUAAUUUUGUGGCCAGACCUUAAUAAUUUGAGGAAGAAAUUAGUCUAUGAAGUGAAACUGGCCAAAUGUCAUGAAGGAAGAAAGUCAACUGAGUAUUUCUUGUUAAAUCCACUUUUAUGUUUUUGGCUGUAAAACAGCAUUUUCUUUACUUCUCUUCCCUGACUUCACACCCAUCCCUCGAAAACAUUCACAUGCACGCACACAUGCACACAAAACAAUUGUAUCUGGUGGACAGUAAGAUGGGUGAGGCAUCUUCCAUCAACUGAACAGUGAGUCGGUACUUACAGAAUCCACACUAAGCUCUUAUGGAGUUCUGGGUCCACCGACUCCAAAUCAGAGAGCUGGAUGGGUUUCCCCAGUAGCUGCUUAUAGAAGGGAACCGUGAAGCCCCCGUUUAUGUAGUGUCCGUGGAAUACGGCGAGACCCAUGAUCCGACCCACGAAAUGGAAAUAAGACAGAUGGUCCUGUAGGGGGCACCAGAGAACACAUUUAUUAGGAAAAUGACCAGCCAGGGUGGAUACCUUGUGCUUUCUCCAAGCUUCUUGGGAGACCUGUCCCAUGGGCAACCCAACACUGACUCAGUUGCUCACAGGUUGUGCUCACGAUCAAAGGAAAGAAGGCUGGUUAGGGAGUCAAAAUUCAGAGCAUGCGUUUUGUAUAGAUCAUCUGAACAUUUUACAUGCCCUUCGUUCAAACAUGUCCUCAGAACUGCUACAUCAUUUGUGGUACUCAGCCUAAAAGGAAAAUGCAGAACUCUUUGCUCAAAAAUUAUUAAGAAUUUCAACAUGGCAGCCACGGAGAAUCAAACCAACACAGGCGCUUCUAAGUGCCAGGCGUCCAGGUAGCCGGCCCCCCGUUUUCCCCACUGCACUACAAACAGAGCAGGGGGCAAUUCUCCCUGAGUCCCAGGAGAAAGCAGAAGAGAAGAAAAUCCAAAGGAAAUAAAAAACCAAAGAGGAACAUAGAGGAAAAUAAUGGACAGCCCAAGUAACAGAAUCAUUCUAAAACCAGAGCUGUUCUGGUUUUUAACUGGGGAACCUCACAUCUCUGCUUUCCAGGUGGAAUUAUAAGCAGAAUUAAUGAAAACCCCAUUUCCAUUUCCUGCUCUACCUUUCAGUGUCUAUUUACCAGAGACUGAGUAAGUCCACAAUGGAUAAACCAAGGACUGACACUGGACCUGGAAAUCUAGCUAGAGAACUUUCCAAUUCGCCCUCUCUUUAUUCAUGGGUACUUACGGGGUUGAUCGAAGAAUCCGGGUUGAUUUGCAACAUGUAAAUGUUGUCCGUAGAAUACUGGAAGAGUCCAUAAUACGGAUUCAACAUUUCAUGGCACAAUAAAUAGAGCCACUCCCUAGGAACAACAAAAUGACAACCAUUUUAUAUGUGUGAAAAUGUCCAGUUUAGGUCUUACCAAAAGGACUGACUCCCUGGGUCCUAGAAGGCCACACUGCGGGAUAACCAGGCCCUGAGAGAAGGUGUAGAUGAGGCAGAUUAGUCUGAGGAAGUAACAACUUGCGUCCGGUCGUCUGAGAAAUGGCUUUUCUGGCCCAAACUCCCACGGUGGCUCCGAAGCCGAGGAAGAACGGCGGUGGGCUUCACCCGGCACCACCUGCUACGGGCAGUGCUCUCGGCAGGGGGACUCAUCAGCCUGCCAGAACCUCAGCUAAGGUGUUCCCUGGGACUCUGCAGAGACCAGAUCUCAGGUGAUGAUGUCAAUCGUGUGGUUCCAAUGGACAAAAGAGCAAUUAAUAAAGAGCAGUCAUAUCCUACUUAUAAAGGGUGUGCGUGCACGCGUGUAUGUACACAAAACAGGAAAGAUCUAUAUGCAGAGCAGAGAGGAAGAGGAGGAGGAAGAGGAUUUACACAGACACUUGGACAGUAGUUAACUUUAGAAUCAGCAUUCUGGGGGAUCUUCAGUUUUCUUUUGCCUCUUGCUAGAGAGUUUUUACAUUUCCGACAGGAACAUGUUAUUCACAUUUAAGUGAGGAGAAAACAGUUUGCAGUCCAGGCAGACAGGGAUUGAGAACGACUUUCACCCUUUAUGACUUUCUUUUAAAAAAAAUUUUUUUUAACAUUUAUUUAUUAUCGAGGGACAGAGAGAGACAGAGCAUGAGCAUUGGGGGGUGGGGGGGGUGGGCAGAGAGAGGAGGAGACACAGAAUCCGAAACAGGCUCCAGGCUCUGAGCUGUCAGCACAGAGCCUGAUGCAGGGCUUGAACUCACAAACCGCGAGAUCAUGACCUGAGCCGAAGUCAGACGCUUAACCGACUGAGCCACCCCGGCGCCCUUACCUUUUAUGACUUUCUAUCUUGUCGAUUCUACCUUUUGUCAUAAACAUUUAUCAUUUUUAUAAUUUUAAAAAACAAGCUGAAUCCAUAACAAGAUAUAAUUUCAUGAGUUCUGAAAUCUGGACGAGAUACAUAAGAAUAAAUUAUUUUUGGAAUCCCUUUAUAUUCCAAUCAUUUCAUUAUGUAUUAAAAAACAAAACAAAACAAAAAGCCCCAAAUCAGAAACAUCCAACAGGGGCGCCUGGGUGGUUCAGUUGGUUCAGCGUCUGACUUCAGCUUCAAUUCAGGUCAUGAUCUCACAGUUAUGUGAGUUCGAGCCCCACACUGGGCUCUCUGAUGUCAGCAUGGAGCCCACUAAAGAUCCUCUGUCCCCCUCUCUCUGCCCCUGUCCCGCUCACGUGCACACUCUCUUUCAAAAAUAAAUAAACAUUAAAAAAAUUUUUUUAAGAAACAAUCGUAUGGAAGCCAAUUUGACAAUUAUAAUUUUUUUUGAAAAAAUAAAAAAAAAAAUACAUAAAUAAAAUUAAAAAAGAAACAAUCCGGCAAAACAAGCACUCUCAACAGCAUCUGUGUGAUUUGGCUCCAGGGUCAGGGGCGAGAAGCCCAGGACCGGGAAAAAGCAUAUGCAAACACCUGUGUCACUUCUACAGUGACCCUUUUAUUCUUUCUACUCAAAUCUCCUUUCUAGGGGCGCCUGGGUGGCGCAGUCGGUUAAGCGUCCGACUUCAGCCAGGUCACGAUCUCGCGGUCCGGGAGUUCGAGCCCCGCGUCGGGCUCUGGGCUGAUGGCUCAGAGCCUGGAGCCUGUUUCCGAUUCUGUGUCUCCCUCUCUCUCUGCCCCUCCCCCGUUCAUGCUCUGUCUCUCUCUGUCCCAAAAAUAAAUAAACGUUGAAAAAAAAAAAAAAAUCUCCUUUCUAAUGGAUACAUUUCGUUAAGACAGCAGCCCCAGAUUUUAUUCUGGAAUUUCUUACUCUGUCAAACACAAAAGGCAUGGAAUUGAGAUCAACCAGGAAAAGGAUGAGCACACGUGCAAACGAUCCAAGGCAACGGUGACAAUACACAGAAAGGAUCAGACUGCAAAAGAUUACGUAUCGAACUCAAGAGAACAGAAAGGAACUGGCAGAAACCAGGAGACUCCAAAUGUCACACAAUUCUUUACUAGAAAGGCAGAAUUUCCCGGCUAUAAGACCAAGGUUGAGAGUUUGGGUUUGAGAGGAAUCCUUUUCAAAAGCCGAGGACCUGCAACUGUCUAGACAGGAAGUGAUCAAAACACAAGCAAAUAUUCUGACCGAGUCACGCACAAGGGAGGGAGGCGUAUUAGGGAUGUUAAGGAAGUGGUGAGGGGAGAGCUAACUAUACAGGCAAAAGGGAUUUUUAACGAUACAGGAAAUGGUUGAGAACCAAACACCGGGGAAGUGAGUGUAGACUGAUUCUCAUCGGCCAGAUGAUGAACGAACACACACACACACACAGACACACACACACACACACACACACGUGAUUUAAAUCUCUCUGCAGCUCUCUGAGACAGGUCUGAUCCCCUGUGGAUGUGAGGAAGGAUCUGAGGGGUGAAACAAUGCAAGAUCACACUGGAGUAGGAAACCCAGGACUCACAGCUCUUUCCGCUAGACCACCGUGUCAACCAAGGGACCUCCAAAAAGGCCUCUCUGUGUGGAAGACUGGAUAAAAACUGGGACAUGCAGAAGGAACAGAACUCCUAUCAGAUCAAACCGAGCUAUUCACAUGCGUGCCUGGGGAUACAUAAUACAGCCACGCUAAGACGGAUGGUAGGUUGGAACAGUUGAGGGUCCUGAAUUCCUGAGACUGUAAAGGAAAUAGCAGAGAAGAGAAAAUGCAAGUAGUCUGAUUUGAACUGUUGGGGCAAACACGAACAUCUAACUAGGAAGCUUCUCACCUAAAAAGGGGGCAGAAAGCCUGAUCCACUUGGCAGGAAACAGAACUCGCUUCAUCACGGGCAAACAGAAGUUACGUUUGCCAAAAGAAAGACGGUUUCUAGAAUCAAGAUGGAGAUGAUUAAGGAAGAACUCUGGGACAGUCUUUUUUGUUUGUGUUAAUGUUUUUUUUUUUUUUUAAUUUUUUUUUUCAACGUUUUUUUAUUUUAUUUUUGGGACAGAGAGAGACAGAGAGGGGCAGAGAGACAGGGAGACACAGAACCGGAAACAGGCUCCAGGCUCCGAGCCAUCAGCCCAGAGCCCGACGCGGGGCUCGAACUCACGGACCGCGAGAUCGUGACCUGGCUGAAGUCGGACGCUUAACCGACUGCGCCACCCAGGCGCCCCUGUGUUAAUGUUUUUAUUUAUUUUUGAGAGCGAGCAAGACAGAGUGUGAGCAGGGGAGGGGCAGAGAGAGAGGGAGACACAGGAUCCGAAGCAGGCUCCAGGCUCCGAGCUGUCAGCACAGAGCCCGACGCGGGGCUCGAGCUCACAAACCACAAGAUCGUGACCUGAGCCAGAGCCCGAUGCUUAACCGACUGAGCCGCCCAGGCGUCCCUGGGACAGUCUUGAAAGGGAAAGCGUUUCCCAUGGAGAGCCAGUGCCCGCUGUGAGCUCACUACUGGGGAGAGGCGUGCCUUUCUGUGCCCUUCAUCCCAGGUGGACUCAGGAGCAGCCGAGGGCAGGAGGAUGAAGGGCAAAGACAGGAGUGGAAAGAAGGUGGAGGAAUGAUUUUCUCCAGGGCCAAAUGGCAGAUCGUGACUUCUAGCUAACACUAACCAGAGUUGGUGUUUUACAUGUAUUUGUGUAAUUCUCUAACGCCUGUACCUCGUCAGAUUGAGAACGCCUUUGGAUGGGGACUUUGGAGGGGUGAAGGGGGCAGAGAACAUGUUACUUUGCUCACUACUGUAUCUCUAGUACCUGGUACAUGGUAGAGUCUCCAUAUUUAAUGGUUAAUAAAUAAACACAAUUCUUACAAGAGCAUACAAAUUUUAGGGGUGUUCUCCUUUAAGAAGAUUCAAUCCUGUAGGGCGCCUGGGUGGCGCUGGUUGGUUGGUUGAGCGUCCGACUUUGGCUCAGGUCACGAUCUCACGGUGUGUGGGUUCAGGCCCCGCAUCAGGCUCUAUGCUGACAGCUCAGAGCCUGGCACCUGCUUCUGAUGCUGUGUCUCCCUCUCUCUCUCUGCCCCUCCCCUGCUCACGCUCUGUCUCUCUCUCAAAAAUACACCUUAAAAAAAAAACAUUUUUUUUAAAGAUUCAAUCAAGUGAAGAUUCAAUCACAGGUAAGAAAUUUUUAAUUUUUAAAGUAUUUUGUUGCAAUGGAAUCAAUAAAUUAGUAUGUUACGAUCACAUAAAAAGUGAAAACGAUGUUGGAGCGGUACAGCCACUGUGGGAAACAGUGUGGAGCUUCCUCAAAAAAUUAAGACUAGAAAUACCAGGCAAUCCAGUAACUGCACUGCUAGGUAUUUACCCAAAGAAAUGAAACCACGGAUUCAAAAAGAUAUACGCACCUCCAUGCUUACUGCAGCAUUAUUUGUAAGAGCCACGCUAUGGAGCAGCCCAAGUGUCCGUGGACAGAUGAACGGAUAAAGAGAUGCGGUAUAUACGCAUGAUGGAAUGUUAAUCACCAAAGAAAGGAGAUCUCGCCGGGUGUGGCAACGCGAAUAGACCUAGAAGGUAUGAUGCUAAGUGAAAUGAGUCAGAGAAAGACAAACACCACAUGGUGUCGCUUUUAUGGGGAAUCUAAAAACACAACAAAACAAAGCAGAAACAGACCCAUAAAUACGGAGGACUGAUGGCUGCCAGAGGGGAGGGUGCCGCGGGGCCGGGCAAAAUGCGUGAAGGGGAGAGGGAGGUCAGAGAGCGCCCCCUGUUGGUGACAGAUGACGGCUACGCUUGUAGCGAGCAGAGUGUUCGACUUUUCAAAACGCUACGUUGCACACCCGAAACUAAUGUAACAUCGUGUGUCAACUAUGCCUCGUGAAAAGUAGGAACUCGGAGAUGAGCGAGUAAAAUCAAAUAGACUGUCUAGAAUCACCACUUUUGUUCACGUAAAGAAAAAAUCCUGAGGCACCGGAAGCUGAACGCUCCUAGAAAGUGGGGGAAAACAAGCAAAGAUGGGAAAUAAAAAGAGAGACCUGGAGGGUCCAUCCAGGGAGUCCAGCAUCUGCGUAACUGGCAUUUCAGAAAGAGCAAAGCGGGGAAACAGAAGAGGGGAAACUGAGCAAGAAGCCGCUGCUGGUUCGGCUGAUCCAGGAGGGAGGUACGCUGGCGUGGCAGGUGCUCCUAGGAGCUGGGGGUUCCGCGAGGAGGGGAUGGGAACUGGGGUUUCAGCGAGGACGGGAAGGCUCCGAGUGCACGCUCUGUGACUGUGGGCCAUGCAGCAGACCGGGGCCAGGGAUCUCGGGAUCUCGGAGUCAGAGAAGGCCCUUUCGGGGGGCGUGCGAGCAGACCCAAGGGAACAGAGGGAAUGGGCUACAUGAGGGUCUCGGAGACACUCUAGGCAGAGGGGAGGUGAAGGCCAAGGCCCGAGGCAGCCACGGCGAGAGUGCAGCAGCCGAGGGAGAGCAGCCAGGGCCGAGCCUGGAGCACCUGCGGGGGUUCAGCUGGGGGUUCGGGGACAGGGGACGGUGGCCGAGUCUCCAAAAAGCUCACGCCGGCUGUGCAGGACAGUGAGAAGCAGGGGGCACGUUCGGAGGAGCAACGACAGAUAGGACAGAUAGGCCCCAAGCGGCGGGGGGGGGGGGGGCCAGGGAGCUGGCGGGCAACAUGCGGUCGGGGCAGCGCCGUCUGCUGAGGACCACGGACACGGGCCCUGGGAGACGACAGGGGAGGGGGUGAGGGCGGGCACUGAGGUAGGACAAACGAGAAGCUGAUGAGGGGCCCUCAGAGAUUCGGGACCAUCAGGCUUAGAAGGGUUCAGAAACCCCCACGGAGAGCCCAGGGCAAGCAAGUGUGGCGUUGACGGGAGCAGCACACAGACGGAACCCAGGGUGCCCUCGGCGACCCCGGGACUGAGCCGGGGGCCGCCGAUGCUCCGGGUGAGGAGCACCCGCACGAGGACUGGCAGGGAGCCAGGGGCCAAACCAGGAGAGGGGGGCGUCCGGAAACCAAGUGGAAAAAGCGCUUCGAGAAUAGGGAGCGACCAGAGGCGUCAGGUUCCGCUGACAGGCCAGGGGACGUAGAGGCCCAGGAGUCAUCACGGGGUCUGGGGGAGAUGGGAGCCGAGGAGGGCAUCCGAGGAAGCGGGGCAGGGGCGGUGUCGAGAGGAAGCAAGAGACAUGGGAGCAGGACGAGGGAUGCUCACAAGUCCCCCGAGGGCUCCUGCUUGAGAACAAACAGGUCAAUGACUGAGGCAGAAGCACCUUUGAACAAAUUUGUGUUUUUCCUGGAAUUUCUCUUUUCUUUGCUUUAUUUGCCUCGAGUGCCUCCUUAACAUGUAGACAGGAAGGGGAUCGCGUCCGGGGAAGGUUCAAGAAAGGUGCCGUCCUAGCGCACACACGCGGAGACUGACCCCACAGAAAGGAACACGGUGAGGAAGCGAGGCGGAUGCGAAAUAAGAGUAGGACACGCACUGUGCGGGGGACAGGGUGGCUCUCCUACAGGGGGCCGUGCAGGGAACACGGGGCCACGUGGGUAGAGGUGCCGGCAGACGGAUACUCGGUGGCGGUGGAGAGACUCCACUGGGGCCGUGUGUCGUCAGCGGCAGAGGAGGCGCAGUCGGCAGCCGAGGGUGAAGGUGUCGGGGCCGAGGCAGAGGCCCGGGGGGCGCACAGGCGGGGACGCAAGGAGCACAGCACGGCUGCACCGGCCGCUGGGACCUCCCGGGACUCGUGGGCGCCAGCGUGGGAGAGGCCACAGCGUGGAGCGCACAGCCCCCCGGCCACCCUCCGGGCCCGAGGACGGGGCUGUUCAGAGGCGGGGUUUUGCCAGGCAGGGGCAGCAGGCCGAAAGGGCGGCGAGGGGGUAAUCGUGACGGCGGAUGACGCGGAAGCAGGGAGCAGGGAUGGGAAGGGGGACAAAGAACAGAAACAAGGUGGCAGACUCGGAGGGUGACGGGUGGUCCUGGAUGAGGCCAAACCACUUCGGGUGAAGUUAGGACUAAAAUCAGAUUGGCUCCAGACCACUGCUCGGUGACGCUGGGUGCCCGAAGAUAGGACAGCGAUGCCUUCAAAGUCCCGAAUGAAAAUUACUUUCCUCCUAGAAAUCUAUAAAAAGGGCAAACUGCAAAUGAACGUUUUCCGUAAGACCUUGGAAAAUUCACCUCCCACACGUCCUUUCUAAGAAAGCUGCUUGAGGGUACAGUCCAGUAACACAAGGGAGUAAACCAAGGAAGAGGGAACUACAGGAUCCACAAAACCAUGCUCUAACCCGGGAAAGCAGUGAUGCCCGUGACCAUGACUGUGCAGAAGACCUAAGGAACCACCAGUCAGACUGGGCAGUGUCCACGAGGGAGACACGCGGGGGAAGCGGGGGCGGGGGGUGGAGGGGGGCAAAAGAUCAAGCUUAAUCGGACAACGUAAAGACAUAGCCUGGUUUUGAAAAAAAAAAAAAAAAGACAAAGAUGAAGAAAUUCUUGGAAUAUUAAAAUUUGUUCUAAAGGCAAAAAUCCUAGAAACCACUCAACCCCCUCGGUGAACAGUAUUUACACGGUCCUAAUAACGUAAACAAUGUACUGAUUUUCAAAUUAAAGACAAAUUUUUUUUGUGAUGUUUCUUUUUUUGACAGAAUGCAAGCAGGGGAGAGUCAGAGAGAGAAGAAGACACAGAAUCUGAAGCAGUCUCCAGGUUGAGCUGUCAGCAUAGAGCCCGACGUGGGGCUCGAACCCAUGAGAUCAUGACCUGAGCCGAAGUCGGACACUUAACUGACUGAGCCACCCAGGUGCCCCAAUAAUGUACUGAUUUUCAACACAAAAAUACUAGGUAGGUAAGCACGGGGAGCUACUUAAUUUUGGCUACAGAACAGACUAUAAAUCUCCAAGCCUGGAUGACAGAACACAGGAGGGGAGGGCAGAAGGACUCCUGGAGGGGAAGUCAAAAGUAUUUAUAUCCUUCUUGCUUAUGAAGAAAGAGGUCAAGAGACAAUGUGUCCAGUUGACAAACCAACAAAUAAUGGUGAAAACACAUCAUGUCAAGUUACCAGGGCAAUGAUGGAAGAUCUAAAAAUUGUGACGGCGCCAGACUAGGAAGUGACAGUAUUACAUUAGAUCCAGUCUAUCUGUGUCUGUGACCAUAAAUCCUGAAGUCAACGGAUUAUGCCUGAACUUGAUCAGUUUAGUGACAUAAAGUCAUCCAUCGGAAGAAACUGUUAAAAGGCAGUGGUCUCAAAGGUGAAAAGAGGCAGGACGGGAAACAGCAGCUUUUAAUUCUUCUACUUUUAAGGUCAUUGGCACGAAUGAUCUUGACCAGCAUUUCACUUGACAAAAUUCCUUUGACACAGAUGCAAUUUACAUGCCUUUCUCCCACCCUGAAAGUCCUCUACUGAGAAAAGUAAGGCUGCCUCCCUCGAAGACUAAUUUCAGGAGCAGGCCUCUCACGUCUCAGGUUAGAGCUGCCAGAUGAAGCGUGGGGGGUGGGGAGUUGAAAAGUUUAAACCAAUCUUUCCACAAAAUAACGGAGAAGGAGAUGUGUCCUCUGGUGGUUCUCGGGACAUGCUCACAGAGCCCCGACAAACCCUUACUCCCAGAAGCACCGAAUGCCAUGCGGAGACACGCCCAGCAUGAAGCGGGGCUGACCGAGAGCCUCACCUGGCCACUCCGCCAUAAUCCAAACCUUCUUCUCCCCGGAACUUGACCAUCAGUCGCUUCUUCAGAUCCUUUGGCCGCAUCUUCAUGAUCUGGCGAUAAGACUCCUGCAUGGCAAAAAAAAAAAAAAAAAGACAGCGUCAGAGAGAAGAACGGGUCGCAUUCUUACUGUUCUACAGAGAUUCAAGGUUGUUGGUAAUGGAGCCCGAAUCAGGAUAAAUAGUCAUUUAAAUCUGAGUUUGAUCUGAUUCCUAGUCAGAAUGUUGGUCUGAUGUCCAGUGUCUGAUGUGGGGUAGCCCCUGUCGCCUGAUCUCCCCGGGUGUCCCUCAGGAACAAGGAGCUCGUGCCGGGCAACGUCGUACCCAAAGGAAACGCACACCCCCAUUUUCAGCACAAUCGCUAAAGGCCUAGGGACAGACAUCCUCACCAGAGUCCAUUUUCUCUACACAAAUUGAUUUUAAUGAGGCCAUACUAAGAACGACUUGUGUAUUGUAACCAAAAGGAAGAUGUCACUGGAGAAUCUGAAUAGUAAAAGAAUUCGGAGCCUGUUUUUGUAUCUGAGGUGAAAAAUCCCAUAAUUUCCAGGGGGUCAAAAAAAGCAAAAAAGUAUUUAAAGUAAGAUCUAUGGGGGAAUGCCUGGGUGGCUCAGUCUGUUAAGCGUCGGACUUCGGCUCAGGUCAUGAUCUCAUAGCGUGUGAGUUCAAGCCCCGUGUCAGGCUCUGUGCUGACAGCUCAGAGCCUGGAGCCUGCUUGGGAUUCUGUGUCUCCCUCUCUCUUGGCCCCUCCCCCGCUAGCGCUCUGUCUUUCUCUCUGAAAAAUAAAUUAAAAUGUUUUAAAAAUAAUUUUUUUAAUAAAGUAAGACCUAUGGGAGCUUACCCAAAACACAGAACACAGGCGGCUAGCCUAACCUUCAGCUACUUUUUUGUUUUAAGUGCAACUAGCUAAACGCUUGUAGAUAUUUUCAGUGAUAAGGCACUUCAGACUCUUCCCCUGCUUUCAAUUUAAUGUAAUUCAAGCCUUCCCAUCCCCAGAGGGAAAGGGGAUGCUGAGUGGAAAUGAUCUAGCAGCAAAAUGUGAAGAAUGCAGCUCUUUUCCCUCCCUGCUCAAUGGCCAUUCUGGCCAAUCCAUCCAUUCGCCUAACCGUCGUCUGUGGCCGAGCAUCGAACAUGGCCCUGGGCGCUUUCAGCGCCCAGUGAGGACGGCACUGGGCUGCCUGCCGCUGUGUCUUCAGGUCUCACCCAGCCUCUUUUGAUCACUCCUGCCCAUGAUUCCACAAAGGCAGGCAGGACGCAGCCCAAACAUCACCGAGACUUUACCUUCCAAUCACCUGCCUUGAGGAAAGGGCCCUGUCUACAGGAGGUCCCGCCUGUUUGGUGGCCUUGAUCCCACAGGGGAGCUGUCUGAAAGACAACCCUUUCCAGGAACCAUCGGAUCUUCCCAUUUCCAGAAAAGACAAUAAAGUGGCCACUUGGCCCCGAAGCUUCUCUGAGGAGGCGAUGCCCUUAGGUGAGAUGGCAAGAGCAGAAGGAGGGAUUGGUUCUGGAGAAACCAUGCGGACUGCAGGAAUAUAUAACCGGCACACAGAAGAGGAUUUACAGUGUUACUUAGUGCUAGUUUCUGUGUGAGUCUCUGUAUUUUCGUUUCAGAGGCUCUCUAGCUUUUAAACUCCUACCACAGGAGGAAGUCCAGUCUGUCUCUCUAUAUGGCCAUCAAUCCUGAAAAAGCCCUGCAAUUCGCUGAGUGAUAAAAUCGGUACCCGAAACACCAAACAGAAAGAACCUGCUGUCUGUCAACAGGGUUUAACAGUCUAUGCCUCCCUGCUGGUCGCGCCGAAUUCCAUACCUCAAAUAUUUCUUCUCUGGACACUUCGAUGCGGCAAUGACCAGCUUGGGGUUGCUGAAGCGAAAGCUCGUGUCUGAGGACCUUCAGCUUCUGGACUAAAUCCCUCUCGUAUCUCUGGGCGGGAAGCUCCUCAUCCUCCACCGAGCCCUCGCUGGGCAAUGGCAGCGGCUGGCUGGGCUCCUUUAGUUGGCACUGGUGACUUGAGAAGAACAGAAACAUCAAGGUCACCCCAAAAGUAGCGGCCCAGGGAGCCACAAGCAAUGCCCCCCACUGGUGAGGGACUGAGAAGCGGGCUCAUCACACAGAACUGCAAGAAGAGAUGUUCCCUCUGCUGACAUAACCAUGUAUGAAAAUACAUAAACACUGACAGUGGCCACCACUGGCCUAAAU